Molecule: unclassified non-coding RNA, 295 nt
Filed under: Hevea brasiliensis (rubber tree)
Lineage: Eukaryota; Viridiplantae; Streptophyta; Magnoliopsida; Malpighiales; Euphorbiaceae
Source: RNAcentral
GGCGAACUUUGCGGCCCAGGAGAGGGCGAGGACCUCGUUCUGGCGGCGGCCGGUAAAGUAAUUGGCGAUGAACAUGAUGAGGAAGCUGACGCAGAUGAUCUCGACGGUGUAGGUGCGGAAGGAGAAGGGAGGCGGGGGUAGCGCGGGCUCCGGCGGCGGGAUCAGGGACUCGGAGACAGGAGCGGUGUUUGAUAUCGGAGUUUCGACUUCCGGGAGACCCUCGAACUCGUCCUCGUCCCAGAAGUCGAGGGAGGAGGGGGGUUUGGGAGCCGGAUCGGAGGGGAUCGGCGGCAGC